UAGUGCACCGACUAUCGUCGUUCUGUCGCCGGCUAUUAUUUUUGUCAAACAAAACAAAAAAACAAGUGAAAAUGCAAGAUCUCAGUUUCGAAAUACCAUGGUUUUUUGGAAGGACAUCAUGCAUUACCUGUUUUCACUUGUUGCAAACCUACAAUAUUUAGGAUGGACGAGCUCAGCAUUGCCAACAGCUUGGGUACCACCUCGCAGAAUCGCAAGAGAGAGUAGUUUUCAAGGAAAUGGAGUACUCUGAACCAGUGUUACUGAUGAGCAUCAGUGAUGGUUUUCAAAACUACGCAGGUAUCAGGACAAGGAUCGAGUUUGACUGUUGUGGGCAACCCAAGAUAGGGGAAGAUUUUUAGUAUGUAAAAUUAUCCGAACUUAAGGGAAAAUAAUAAAACCCUAAAUUAUAUCAA
Long non-coding RNA from Aedes aegypti (yellow fever mosquito), 413 nucleotides. RefSeq lists it as uncharacterized. The record is from RefSeq and is a predicted model, not a curated record. NCBI's taxonomy places the organism in Eukaryota, Metazoa, Arthropoda, Insecta, Diptera, Culicidae. The transcript is spliced from 2 exons.